AUGCCUCUGCCUCCAUUACAAAUUCGGCAGUAUGUACAUACGCAAGGACAAGUUGAGCAGAGAAGUUUUUCACCUGGAUUUUGCUCCAUUGACCAUUUUUGCCACGCUCGCUCCCGUUACAACAAAUGGUCGGCCGCGCCCUCGCCAAAGUCACUCAAUACCGAGGCCACUAUCGCGGUGCUGCCUUGCCAAAACUGCUUUGAGCCGCCGUUGCCGACUCAGGCAGAGUGGUUUCGCCAUCGCCGUGAGCCGCCGGCCGCCUCGACGCCCAAGUCACCGCGGCCCUCCACUGUUGCACCUUGCCUCCGCAUCCGCGCGCUUCGGCCGCCCUCCGUUCCACUGCGGCCUGGCUCCCGAGCCCCACAAGUCGGUUCUGCUCGCCUCGCUGCCAAUGAGCCGGCGCCGGGCCGUCUUGGAUGCGCCCCAAACCGCCAGCCGCGCCCCUGCCUUCCGAACUGCCGGAGACGGCUGCUCGCUGACCAUUGCCGUAAAGCCGCCACCUUGCUGCCACGAGCCGCCCCAGUCUUUGUUGUGUCGCAGGUGUUUUUAUGGAAUCCCAGAAGAAUGAUUGAAGUGGAGAUUGUGAACGAAGAAGCAAAUAGAGACAAGCUGCGUGUACAAGUGCAGAAGCUACAUCCUGGAGCGCUGUGA
RNAcentral lists this ribosomal RNA (651 nucleotides) under Triticum aestivum (bread wheat). RNAcentral describes it as "partial small subunit ribosomal RNA". Lineage: Eukaryota; Viridiplantae; Streptophyta; Magnoliopsida; Poales; Poaceae. The record is from RNAcentral.